This 323-nucleotide ribosomal RNA is filed under the name uncultured bacterium. RNAcentral's name for it is "bacterial SSU rRNA". It matches the Rfam family "Bacterial small subunit ribosomal RNA", at positions 1190 to 1510 of the family's 1533-position model. The record is from RNAcentral.
UCAUCAUGCCCCUUAUGUCCAGGGCUUCACACAUGCUACAAUGGUCGGUACAACGCGCCGACACAUGUGAGGUGGAGCGAAUCUGCUCGAAAGCCGGCCUUAGUUCGGAUUGGGGUCUGCAACUCGACCCCAUGAAGUCGGAGUCGCUAGUAAUCGCAGAUCAGCAAUGCUGCGGUGAAUACGUUCCCGGGCCUUGUACACACCGCCCGUCACGUCAUGAAAGUUGGUAACACCCGAAGCCAGUGGCUCAAACUCGUUUAGGGAGCUGUCUAAGGUGGGAUCGGCGAUUGGGACGAAGUCGUAACAAGGUACCCGUACCGGAA